Myodes glareolus (Bank vole) is the source of this 471-nucleotide non-coding RNA. The record is from RefSeq and is a predicted model, not a curated record. NCBI's taxonomy places the organism in Eukaryota, Metazoa, Chordata, Mammalia, Rodentia, Cricetidae.
UUCAACACAGAAGGCUUCUGAGGACACUCUUCACAUCCAAAUCAAAAAAAGAUAUCAAAAGAAUCUUCUUGUUGGGUGCUCCUGCACUGCCAAGCAGAAGGGUAAGGUGCUCCAGGCCAUACUAAAAAGAGUCACGGCUGCACCAUCCCUUGACGUCACAUGUCUAGAAGAUUGAGACAAGCAAGAAUCAUCUGGAAAGAGGGAAUGUCAAUUGAGAAGCUACUUCCAUCAGAUUGGACAUUUUCUUGGUUAAUGAUUGAUACUUGAGGGCCCUGAUCACUGGGACUGGCACCUUUCAUGGGCAGCCGGUCCUAGAUUGUAUAAAAAGGAAAACUGAGAAAGCCGUUGAAAGUAAGCCAAUAAGCAUUGUUCCUCCAGGGCUUCACCUUCAGUUCUUGCCUUGAUCUCCUGCUCUGACUUUCCUUGACAAUAAACGCUAACAUGUAAGCCAAAUAAACCUUUUUCUCCAAA